This is a long non-coding RNA of Erinaceus europaeus (western European hedgehog), 283 nucleotides long. RefSeq lists it as uncharacterized. Lineage: Eukaryota; Metazoa; Chordata; Mammalia; Eulipotyphla; Erinaceidae. The record is from RefSeq and is a predicted model, not a curated record. The transcript is spliced from 3 exons.
AGGUCCGGGGUCUGGGGGGGGGGUCAGCGCGGUGGGGUCCCCCCAGGGGCAGGUCCAGGGUCGGGGGUCAGCGAGGUGGGGUCCCCCCAGGGGCAGGUCCGGGGUCUGGGGGGUCAGUGAGGUGGGGUCCCCCCAGGGGCAGGUCCGGGGUCGGGGGUCAUUGCGGUGGGGUCCCCCCAGGGGCAGGUCCGGGAUCUGGGGGUCACGCGGCGGGGUCCCCAGGGGCAGGUCCGGGAUCUGGGGGGUCAGCGCGGCGGGGUCCCCCCAGGGGCAGGUCCGGGGU